Molecule: ribosomal RNA, 864 nt
Filed under: Staphylococcus cohnii subsp. cohnii
Lineage: Bacteria; Bacillati; Bacillota; Bacilli; Caryophanales; Staphylococcaceae
Description: bacterial SSU rRNA
Rfam family: Bacterial small subunit ribosomal RNA
Source: RNAcentral
GUUAGCGGCGGACGGGUGAGUAACACGUGGGUAACCUACCUAUAAGACUGGAAUAACUCCGGGAAACCGGGGCUAAUGCCGGAUAACAUUUAGAACCGCAUGGUUCUAAAGUGAAAGAUGGUUUUGCUAUCACUUAUAGAUGGACCCGCGCCGUAUUAGCUAGUUGGUAAGGUAACGGCUUACCAAGGCAACGAUACGUAGCCGACCUGAGAGGGUGAUCGGCCACACUGGAACUGAGACACGGUCCAGACUCCUACGGGAGGCAGCAGUAGGGAAUCUUCCGCAAUGGGCGAAAGCCUGACGGAGCAACGCCGCGUGAGUGAUGAAGGUCUUCGGAUCGUAAAACUCUGUUAUUAGGGAAGAACAAAUGUGUAAGUAACUAUGCACGUCUUGACGGUACCUAAUCAGAAAGCCACGGCUAACUACGUGCCAGCAGCCGCGGUAAUACGUAGGUGGCAAGCGUUAUCCGGAAUUAUUGGGCGUAAAGCGCGCGUAGGCGGUUUCUUAAGUCUGAUGUGAAAGCCCACGGCUCAACCGUGGAGGGUCAUUGGAAACUGGGAAACUUGAGUGCAGAAGAGGAAAGUGGAAUUCCAUGUGUAGCGGUGAAAUGCGCAGAGAUAUGGAGGAACACCAGUGGCGAAGGCGACUUUCUGGUCUGUAACUGACGCUGAUGUGCGAAAGCGUGGGGAUCAAACAGGAUUAGAUACCCUGGUAGUCCACGCCGUAAACGAUGAGUGCUAAGUGUUAGGGGGUUUCCGCCCCUUAGUGCUGCAGCUAACGCAUUAAGCACUCCGCCUGGGGAGUACGACCGCAAGGUUGAAACUCAAAGGAAUUGACGGGGACCCGCACAAGCGGUGGAGCAUG